AUGGAUUUCGGUAUCCAAAGAAUUGGUCCGUUGUUGCAGAUGCUCUUAACGAGGGCUUGUAUGUUCCCUUGCGGGAUGCUUGUGAAAAAAGCAAGAUUUUCUUUAUAUCCAGAUUCACGUUUCUUCAUUACGGAAACGGAUUUCGGCAUCCAAAAUGUUUGUCCGUUGUUGGAGAUGAUCUUAACGGCAACUUCAAUGGCCACAUUUAUUCAAAACGGAAAACUACGGUGUUUCUCAAAGGCUCUCGAAGUUUUUCGGUUACUUACCAAGAGCAGUUGCAUUGACCAGGCGGAAAGGAGAGACCAAAAUGAGAAUGGAGUGAGCAGGCUGAACAAUACGAGGUCGAACGAGAAUCUCUUCUGA
This 363-nucleotide ribosomal RNA is filed under the name Triticum aestivum (bread wheat). RNAcentral describes it as "partial small subunit ribosomal RNA". The record is from RNAcentral. Lineage: Eukaryota; Viridiplantae; Streptophyta; Magnoliopsida; Poales; Poaceae.